UACGUAGGUGGCGAGCGUUGUCCGGAUUUACUGGGCGUAAAGAGCGCGCAGGCGGUCGUUCAAGUCGCGUGUGAAAGCCCCCGGCUCAACUGGGGAGGGUCACGCGAUACUGAUCGACUCGAAGGCAGGAGAGGGUAGUGGAAUUCCCGGUGUAGUGGUGAAAUGCGUAGAUAUCGGGAGGAACACCAGUGGCGAAGGCGACCACCUGGCCUGUUUCUUGACGCUGAGGCGCGAAAGCUAGGGGAGCAAACGGG
Molecule: ribosomal RNA, 254 nt
Filed under: uncultured bacterium
Lineage: Bacteria
Description: partial 16S ribosomal RNA
Rfam family: Bacterial small subunit ribosomal RNA
Source: RNAcentral